RNAcentral lists this ribosomal RNA (237 nucleotides) under uncultured bacterium. RNAcentral describes it as "partial 16S ribosomal RNA". It matches the Rfam family "Bacterial small subunit ribosomal RNA", at positions 524 to 758 of the family's 1533-position model. The record is from RNAcentral.
UACGUAGGGUGCAAGCGUUGUCCGGAAUUAUUGGGCGUAAAGAGCUCGUAGGCGGUUUGUUGCGUCGGCUGUGAAAUCCCGGAGGCUCAACCUCGGGUCUGCAGUCGAUACGAGCAAACUAGAGUGUUGCAGGGGAGACUGGAAUUCCUGGUGUAGCGGUGAAAUGCGCAGAUAUCAGGAGGAACACCGGUGGCGAAGGCGGGUCUCUGGGCAACAACUGACGCUGGAGGAGCGAAA